AUACGGAGGAUCCGAGCGUUAUCCGGAUUUAUUGGGUUUAAAGGGUGCGCAGGCGGGAGAUUAAGUCGGCGGUGAAAUUUUGCAGCUCAACUGUAAAAGUGCCUUCGAAACUGGUUUCCUUGAGUGUAGAUGAAGUAGGCGGAAUUUGUGGUGUAGCGGUGAAAUGCAUAGAUAUCACGAGGAACUCCGAUUGCGCAGGCAGCUUACUAAACUACUACUGACGCUCAGGCACGAAGGCGUGGGGAUCAAACAGGAUUAGAUACCCUGGUAGUCCACGCAGUAAACGAUGAUUACUAGCUGUUUGCGAUACAAUGUAAGCGGCUGAGCGAAAGCGUUAAGUAAUCCACCUGGGGAGUACGUUCGCAAGAAUGAAACUUAAAGGAAUUGACGGGG
RNAcentral lists this ribosomal RNA (393 nucleotides) under uncultured bacterium. Its description in RNAcentral is "partial 16S ribosomal RNA". It matches the Rfam family "Bacterial small subunit ribosomal RNA", at positions 523 to 918 of the family's 1533-position model. The record is from RNAcentral.